This 235-nucleotide long non-coding RNA is filed under the name Lathyrus oleraceus (garden pea). Its description in RNAcentral is "Pisum sativum (pea) long non-coding RNA (PSAT_LNC016907)". Lineage: Eukaryota; Viridiplantae; Streptophyta; Magnoliopsida; Fabales; Fabaceae. The record is from RNAcentral.
GGUUAGAAUGGAGAGAAGAAGAAGAAAGGCUAAAGUGCUAAGCAUACAAGAGGUGAGGGAUAAAGAAGCAAAACCACAAAUGGAGUUCCUCUCUUAAGAUCAUAUUGAUGAUCCAUGUAGCUCCCAUCCUUUGGAAUAAGAAAUCACAUAAGCAUAAACUCAAGCAAUCAACAAUCAAAUGAAGCUCUUGGAAAGUUCCUUUAUGUAUCUUGGAUCUCUCUCCCUUAGAAGUUCA